AUGCUGCCACGACCCUGUACGAGCUCUGUAAGCUGCUCAUCCUCCAUUGAUGCCCUCUGCAAGCUGCUCAUCCUCCCGGAGCUGACCGAAGGAGGAAGGAGGAAGAAGAUGACGAUACCUGUUGGUGUUCAGAGUAAUAUUGUGCAUUUCCUUUGGGCCGACCUCGGGAACCCGACGGCGCUGUGGACCAUGCUGACCCUCGCCUUCUCUCUCGGUCUCUCCGACGACGGGGACUACAAGGGGAGCACGCUCGUGUUGGACGGCCGCGUCGAUUUCGGUGGCGGCGGCGCGGCGGAGCGCGACGUGGUGGGCGGCACGGGGAGGUUCCGGCGGGCGAGGGGGUACAGCCUGACGACCAAGUUUGGCAACCCCACGCCCAGCACCGGCGUCUUCGAGAUGGACACGUCUACGUCACUGCCAUGGCCUAGAGCUAGCUUAAUUAGUUUAGGUCUGUUUGAUUCAGCUUAAAAUUAUUAUA
RNAcentral lists this long non-coding RNA (478 nucleotides) under Oryza sativa Indica Group (long-grained rice). Its description in RNAcentral is "lncRNA OsZS97_03G020640". Lineage: Eukaryota; Viridiplantae; Streptophyta; Magnoliopsida; Poales; Poaceae. The record is from RNAcentral.